Molecule: ribosomal RNA, 468 nt
Filed under: uncultured bacterium
Lineage: Bacteria
Description: partial 16S ribosomal RNA
Rfam family: Bacterial small subunit ribosomal RNA
Source: RNAcentral
GACGAACGCUGGCGGCGUGCUUAACACAUGCAAGUCGAACGGAAAGGCCCUGCUUUUGUGGGGUGCUCGAGUGGCGAACGGGUGCGUAACACGUGAGUAACCUGAUCUUGUUUUUGGGAUAGCUUCAGGAAACUGGGGUUACUACCGGAUAGGAGCCCCUGUUGCGUGGAGGGGGUUGGAACGUUUCGGCGGUUGGGGUUGGAUUAGCGGCUUAUCAGCUUGUUGGUGGGGUAGUGGAUUACCAAGGCUUUGACGGGUCCCCGGCCUGAGAGGGUGACCGGCCACAUUGGGACUGAGAUACGGCCCAGACUCCUACGGGAGGCAGCAGGGGGGAAUAUUGCACAAUGGGCGGAAGCCUGAUGCAGCAACGCCGCGGUCGGGAUGACGGCCUGCGGGUUGUAAACCGCUUUCGCCUGUGACGAAGCGUGAGUGACGGUAAUGGGUAAAGAAGCACCGGCUAACUACGUG